This is a non-coding RNA of Paramuricea clavata, 1589 nucleotides long. The record is from the annotation of a GenBank genome assembly. NCBI's taxonomy places the organism in Eukaryota, Metazoa, Cnidaria, Anthozoa, Malacalcyonacea, Plexauridae.
CUCUUAUCAUCUAGCGCAAUACACAGGCAAUAAAAAGCUCGUCCAAAUUUUGCUGUGAUUAAUUUCGUUUCAUGUUAAAAAGAAGGAAGCUUUCGGGGAGAAGAGAAAUCUGAGAUAAGAAUUUAGAAGCUAAGCAAAGUCGAGUAGUUACAUAUAUAUAUUGUAAAUAUUGUAAUUUACUAAUAAUUUAAGGAUGUCUCAUCAGAGAAUGUUAACAUCAGACAGCUCGGAAAGUCGGGCUAGAAAGUAUUCUGGAGACAAGUCUUGCGAAUAUGAAUGUCAUGUUUGUAACAAACGAUUUUCGCGUUCAUGGCACCUUGCAGAACAUCGAACAACACACACUGGGGAGAAACCGUAUAAAUGCGACGUCUGCGACAAAAGUUUCUCCAAAUCAUGGACCUUAGUAAAUCACAAAAGAAUACAUACGGGAGAAAGGCCUUACAAAUGUGAUGUUUGCAUGAAAACGUUCACUCGAUCAAGUAUCUUAUCAAAUCACAAAAAAAUACACACCGGCGAAAAACGCCAUGGUUGUGAUGUUUGUACGAAACGUUUUAUAAACAAGGGCAAUUUAGCAAGGCAUAAAAGAACACAUACUGGGGAGAAGCUCUUCGAAUGUGAUGUCUGUGGUAAACGAUUUUCCGAUAAAAGAGACUUAUCAAGACAUAAAAGAAUACAUAGCGGGGAGAAACCGCAUGAAUGCGAUGCGUCCAAGGAGGGAUCUUGUUUUCGAGGGAAUUCCAAUCAACACAACAAGAAGCAUUUGUUUUGCAAAAGUUGCAACAGGGAGAUCAUUCGGCCACAAGAUUUGAAAGAAGAUUUUGUUGAAGAUAAGUACAAUGGGAAGUACGUUUGCGGGAAAUGUAACAAACAGUUUGCUGAUUUCGAUAAAUUGAUAAAGCAUGUCGCAAGGCAACAUGGCAAUGAUGGCAAGUAUCAAUGUGGUUUUUGUCAAGAACUUGAAUCAACAGAACCAACUGGCAUUGGAUAUGUUUGUUGUGUCUGUGAUGCUGUGUUUGAUAUUCCCAGGAAACUCGAAGAUCACAUGGUAACUCACAACAUGAUGCAGGAAGACUGAUUUUUUUAUUUUAAGGAUAUAGUUUUAUAUGAGGUAGCUUUUCAUGGGUUUUUAUUUUACGGAUAUAGUUUCAAAGAGCAGUGCAGUUUUAUGCAUGUCGACCAACAUUUCAUCUUACCAACUUCCUUAUAUACUUUAGUUUAACUUUUCUAACAAACAUUUACAUUUAAACUGAUGUAUUGGUUUGAUUGUCAUCCAUUGAUCUGAUUUUACUGAUUCAUAAGUGUCACUUAGGUAUCAAAUUAUCAACAAUUUGAGUCAAAUAUAGCAUUGACCAUCUUCCUCUGGGACGCUUUCGGGCAUUUUCAACUGUUCUAUGUCCAGGAUUUGGGCAUGGUACUUAUAAAAUUGACGUCCGAUCCGUUCGGCAACCUGUCAAAGAGGCAGGCAUUUAUGGGGAAUAAAAAGCGUUUUUAAUGUCAGUAACAGAUAAGAUAUGCUGCGGAAUCACAUUAUCAUAGAUUAAACUAAGGCCAGCUCAGCCCCCUCUGAAUAUGGUACAUAUUAAGCCUGG